UGAAUGAGAUCUGUUGAGCCUUUGAAAAUGUGAAAGGUCUUGAUUUGCUUUUGUAUAUUAUAGGUAUGGUUGUGAUGUCUAUUCACUUUCAUGUGGAAAGGCUUUUUCUGCUAAUGUUCUUUCUUUAACAGUGUCCCUGUUCCAGGCUCCAUCUGUAAGAUGGGAUGCACUGGCCAUUGUUUUUCAGCAGGUCAACAAGGUGACAUGGAUCUGAGGCAAGCUACAGCAGAGGGCAUACAUCCUCUGUUGAAAUAGCUGAAAGGACAAAUUAAUAUGGAAAUCACAAUGCUGAGUUGGACUGUCUUUCUUUGUAAAGGAUCUGGUGGAUUACCAUAACAAGGGUGGGUGAAGGGGCCAUUACUCAUUUAUUUGAUGAUUUUACUUCCUCACAUUCACUGAUGAGAAUUUGUUUCGGCAUUCGUUGCUCUGGGAAGAUUUUCUAACUUGCAUAAACUGCAUCUCAAUGCUGUCCCUGCAUUCCGUGGGAUCGCCUAACCUCCCUCCUGAGGCUGACCUUCAUCAGCGGGUGAACCACAAGCAAAAGAGUGGGGACCAAAAUCUACGUGUGCAAAAGAAAGAUGAGGAAGAAGAAAAAUCUCAUCUCUGCAACCACAGGCUGGGCCAGGCUUCCCCAGAGAUGCUGGUACCCUGAACUGGAGAAAGGGGAGGGUGACAGUGGAAUGGCCAAAACCUAAAGAUGGUAGACCUACCCCUAGCUAAGGGCUAGAGAGGAGCUGAGUCCCUGCCCUCACAUCUACUCAAUCAGAUUGUACACUCUCCUUUGACAAUUACAGCAAGGAUGAGGUUUGCUUCAGGCCCUGUCACAUAUAUAAGGAGAGUGCAACCCUGCAGGCUGACAUGAGCCACUCUGGUUUGGAAGUCUUUGUUGUAGGAGAAUGUCUGGCAGACUCUACCAUGAAGCAGUAACCCUUUAGGACUGUCCCAUCAAGUUCAG
Long non-coding RNA from Mesocricetus auratus (golden hamster), 955 nucleotides. RefSeq lists it as uncharacterized. Lineage: Eukaryota; Metazoa; Chordata; Mammalia; Rodentia; Cricetidae. The transcript is spliced from 5 exons. The record is from RefSeq and is a predicted model, not a curated record.